CAAAAAGAAAAAAAAAUGACGGCGGGAAGAAUAUACAUUGUUUUUUUUUUUAAUAACUAUACAUUAUUGCGUAUUAUUCUUCUUGAUUUUU
RNAcentral lists this non-coding RNA (91 nucleotides) under Heterosigma akashiwo. Lineage: Eukaryota; Raphidophyceae; Chattonellales; Chattonellaceae. The record is from RNAcentral.